RNAcentral lists this ribosomal RNA (253 nucleotides) under uncultured bacterium. RNAcentral describes it as "partial 16S ribosomal RNA". It matches the Rfam family "Bacterial small subunit ribosomal RNA", at positions 524 to 776 of the family's 1533-position model. The record is from RNAcentral.
UACGAAGGGAGCUAGCGUUGUUCGGAAUCACUGGGCGUAAAGCGCACGUAGGCGGAUGUGUCAGUCAGGGGUGAAAUCCCGGAGUUCAACUUCGGAACUGCCCUUGAUACAGCACGUCUUGAGUCCGGAAGAGGUGGGUGGAAUUCCUAGUGUAGAGGUGAAAUUCGUAGAUAUUCGGAAGAACACCAGUGGCGAAGGCGGCUCACUGGACCGGUAUUGACGCUGAGGUGCGAAAGCGUGGGGAGCAAACAGG